RNAcentral lists this ribosomal RNA (105 nucleotides) under Nannospalax galili (Upper Galilee mountains blind mole rat). Lineage: Eukaryota; Metazoa; Chordata; Mammalia; Rodentia; Spalacidae. The record is from RNAcentral.
GUCUAUGGCCAUGCCACCCUAACAUGCCCAGUCUGAUCAUGGAAGCUAAGCAUGGUCAGGCAUGGUUAGAAUUUGAGAAGGGGAAAUAGCAGUAAGCCGCAAGUA